Molecule: transfer RNA, 68 nt
Organism: Saccharothrix sp. ST-888
Lineage: Bacteria; Bacillati; Actinomycetota; Actinomycetes; Pseudonocardiales; Pseudonocardiaceae
Rfam family: tRNA
About the family: Transfer RNA (tRNA) molecules are approximately 80 nucleotides in length. Their secondary structure includes four short double-helical elements and three loops (D, anti-codon, and T loops).
Source: Rfam
GCGCGAUUAGCUCAGCGGGAGAGCACUACCUUGACACGGUAGGGGUCACUGGUUCAAUCCCAGUAUCG